Molecule: non-coding RNA, 577 nt
Organism: Pelobates cultripes (western spadefoot toad)
Lineage: Eukaryota; Metazoa; Chordata; Amphibia; Anura; Pelobatidae
Source: the annotation of a GenBank genome assembly
CCACCUCCUUUGGUACCCUUUUCACCAUCUUCCACCACUUCUGUCUUUACAUCACCCACCUGUUUGUCUCCAUAUUAUCUACUUUUUUGAUUGCCACACCAUGCCUCCCCAUCACCCUCCUGUGAGCCUCUACUGUGACACAAUUGUUUCAUGUCACCCUCCUCCUUCUCAAACAUUUCUCUUCACAUCCCUGACACCAUAUUCUAACCCACCUUUUCAUGUUGUGCCCCUUCUCAUUAACCGUCCAUGCAGGGCCGUCUUGCCGCAUGGGCACGCUGAGCAAUUGCCCGGGGCCCCACAACGUUGCCCAUGUACCAGCUCCAACAGGGGAGAUCCUUUGUCUCCCCUGCCAGCCCAGAGUUACCAUGGCAAUGCUGCGACACCACAUUCUGCUCACGGGAGGAGUGAAGAUAGCCUGCAGGCUGUAGAUCAUUACUCACCACUGGACCAUCAGGGUUGGCAAUGUCUCCCCCUCCCACCAAAGGUAAGAAGAAGGGUGGAGGCACUAAGGGUGGACAUGAAGCUUUAAUUGUAAAUAAAAAUAAAACAAAAAAAAUCAUUUUUCCCUAUGCAUUCC